UGUAUCUGAAGUCUGACGAGGAUGAGAACCUCCGGGGGCAAGAGGUUCGACUCGAGCGAAGCGAGAGAACGUUGCGUCAGCAACGGCCCGCAGGGCGAGCC
This 101-nucleotide small RNA is filed under the name Salmonella enterica subsp. enterica serovar Pullorum. RNAcentral describes it as "partial RtT sRNA". It matches the Rfam family "RtT RNA", at positions 1 to 97 of the family's 130-position model. From Rfam's summary of the family: This family represents a bacterial cis-regulatory element known as RtT RNA. The exact function of RtT is unknown although it is thought that it may be involved in changing the cellular response in relation to amino acid starvation. RNAcentral also lists the same sequence under 3 other names. The record is from RNAcentral. Lineage: Bacteria; Pseudomonadati; Pseudomonadota; Gammaproteobacteria; Enterobacterales; Enterobacteriaceae.